UCCUACGGGAGGCAGCAGUGGGGAAUAUUGCGCAAUGGGCGAAAGCCUGACGCAGCGACGCCGCGUGAGGGAUGAAGGUCUUCGGAUUGUAAACCUCUUUCAGCAGGGACGAAGCGAAAGUGACGGUACCUGAAGAAGAAGCACCGGCUAACUACGUGCCAGCAGCCGCGGUAAUACGUAGGGUGCAAGCGUUGUCCGGAUUUAUUGGGCGUAAAGAGCUCGUAGGCGGUUAGACACGUCGGAUGUGAAAACUGGGGGCUCAACCCCCAGCCUGCAUUCGAUACGGUCUGACUAGAGUGUGGUAGGGGUAACUGGAAUUCCUGGUGUAGCGGUGAAAUGCGCAGAUAUCAGGAGGAACACCGAUGGCGAAGGCAGGUUACUGGGCCACCACUGACGCUGAGGAGCGAAAGCGUGGGGAGCAAACAGGAUUAGAUACCCUGGUAGUCCACGCCGUAAACGGUGGGCGCUAGAUGUGGGGACCAUUCCAUGGUUUCUGCGUCGCAGCUAACGCAUUAAGCGCCCCGCCUGGGGAGUACGGUCGCAAGACUAAAACUCAAAUGAAUUGACGGA
This 570-nucleotide ribosomal RNA is filed under the name uncultured bacterium. Its description in RNAcentral is "bacterial SSU rRNA". It matches the Rfam family "Bacterial small subunit ribosomal RNA", at positions 337 to 917 of the family's 1533-position model. The record is from RNAcentral.